GAUGUUGGCUUAGAAGCAGCCACUCAUUCAAAGAGUGCGUAAUAGCUCACUGGUCGAGUGAUCCUGCGCCGAAGAUUUCCGGGGCUAAAACUUACUACCGAAGCUACGGCAUCAGUAAUGAUGGGGAGGGGAGCUUCCCAUACGGGUUGAAGCAUGACCGUAAGGACAUGUGGACAGUAUGGGAGUGAGAAUGUUGGCAUGAGUAGCGAGAUG
This 213-nucleotide ribosomal RNA is filed under the name Clostridioides difficile. RNAcentral's name for it is "partial 23S ribosomal RNA". It matches the Rfam family "Bacterial large subunit ribosomal RNA", at positions 1097 to 1316 of the family's 2925-position model. Lineage: Bacteria; Bacillati; Bacillota; Clostridia; Peptostreptococcales; Peptostreptococcaceae. The record is from RNAcentral.